CCUGGUGGCUCAAACAGUAAAGAAUCUGCCUGCAGUGCAGGAGACCUGGGUUUGAUCCCUGCAUCAGGA
RNAcentral lists this transfer RNA (69 nucleotides) under Ovis aries (sheep). It matches the Rfam family "tRNA". From Rfam's summary of the family: Transfer RNA (tRNA) molecules are approximately 80 nucleotides in length. Their secondary structure includes four short double-helical elements and three loops (D, anti-codon, and T loops). Further hydrogen bonds mediate the characteristic L-shaped molecular structure. tRNAs have two regions of fundamental functional importance: the anti-codon, which is responsible for specific mRNA codon recognition, and the 3' end, to which the tRNAs corresponding amino acid is attached (by aminoacyl-tRNA synthetases). tRNAs cope with the degeneracy of the genetic code in two manners: having more than one tRNA (with a specific anti-codon) for a particular amino acid; and 'wobble' base-pairing, i.e. permitting non-standard base-pairing at the 3rd anti-codon position. Lineage: Eukaryota; Metazoa; Chordata; Mammalia; Artiodactyla; Bovidae. The record is from Rfam by way of RNAcentral.